Molecule: ribosomal RNA, 468 nt
Filed under: uncultured bacterium
Lineage: Bacteria
Description: partial 16S ribosomal RNA
Rfam family: Bacterial small subunit ribosomal RNA
Source: RNAcentral
GACGAACGCUGGCGGCGUGCUUAACACAUGCAAGUCGAACGGAAACGCCCUGCUUUUGUGGGAUGCUUGAGUGGCGAACGGGUGAGUCACACGUGAGUAACCUGCCCUUGACUUUGGGAUAACUUCAGGAAACUUGGGCUAAUACCCGAUAGGUGCUCCUGCUGCAUGGUGGGGGAUGGAAAGUUUCGGUGGUUGGGGAUGGUCUCGCGGGUUAUCAGCGUGGUGGUGGGGCAGCGGAUUACCAAGGCUUUGACGGGUAGUCGGCCUUAGAGGGUGAACGGCGACAUUGGUACUGAGGGACGCACCAGAGUGGUAUGGGGGACAGCAGUGGGGAAUAUUGCACAGUGAGGGGGAGCGUGAUGAGGAAGCGUUGCGGGCGUGAUGUGGGUCUGCGCGGUGUGAAACGCUUCUGCCUGUGACGAAGCGUGAGUGACGGUAAUGGGUAAAGAAGCACCGGCUAACUACGUG